UCUGUCUAUGAUGAUAUCUCAUUACCUCCCUUGCUUGAGUUUAACGACCAUGAGAAAACUCACAUGCACUACCAUCUGAGACAGU
Molecule: small nucleolar RNA, 85 nt
Organism: Labrus bergylta (ballan wrasse)
Lineage: Eukaryota; Metazoa; Chordata; Actinopteri; Labriformes; Labridae
Source: Ensembl